CACUAUCGUUAACUGAAUACAUAGGUUAACGAGGCGAACCGGGGGAACUGAAACAUCUAAGUACCCCGAGGAAAAGAAAUCAACCGAGAUUCCCCCAGUAGCGGCGAGCGAACGGGGAGCAGCCCAGAGUCUGAAUCAGCUUGUGUGUUAGUGGAACGGUCUGGAAAGUCCGACGGUACAGGGUGAUAGUCCCGUACACCAAAAUGCACAGGCUGUGAACUCGAAGAGUAGGGCGGGACACGUGGUAUCCUGUCUGAAUAUGGGGGGACCAUCCUCCAAGGCUAAAUACUCCUGACUGACCGAUAGUGAACCAGUACCGUGAGGGAAAGGCGAAAAGAACCCCGGCGAGGGGAGUGAAAAAGAACCUGAAACCGUGUACGUACAAGCAGUGGGAGCACCUUCGGGUGUGACUGCGUACCUUUUGUAUAAUGGGUCAGCGACUUAUAUUCUGUAGCAAGGUUAACCGUAUAGGGGAGCCGCAGGGAAACCGAGUCUUAACUGGGCGUUAAGUUGCAGGGUAUAGACCCGAAACCCGGUGAUCUAGCCAUGGGCAGGUUGAAGGUUGGGUAACACUAACUGGAGGACCGAACCGACUAAUGUUGAAAAAUUAGCGGAUGACUUGUGGCUGGGGGUGAAAGGCCAAUCAAACCGGGAGAUAGCUGGUUCUCCCCGAAAGCUAUUUAGGUAGCGCCUCGUGAAUUCAUCUUCGGGGGUAGAGCACUGUUUCGGCUAGGGGGUCAUCCCGACUUACCAACCCGAUGCAAACUACGAAUACCGAAGAAUGUUAUCACGGGAGACACACGGCGGGUGCUAACGUCCGUCGUGAAGAGGGAAACAACCCAGACCGCCAGCUAAGGUCCCAAAGUCAUGGUUAAGUGGGAAACGAUGUGGGAAGGCACAGACAGCCAGGAUGUUGGCUUAGAAGCAGCCAUCAUUUAAAGAAAGCGUAAUAGCUCACUGGUCGAGUCGGCCUGCGCGGAAGAUGUAACGGGGCUAAACCAUGCACCGAAGCUGCGGCAGCGACACUAUGUGUUGUUGGGUAGGGGAGCGUUCUGUAAGCCUGCGAAGGUGUGCUGUGAGGCAUGCUGGAGGUAUCAGAAGUGCGAAUGCUGACAUAAGUAACGAUAAAGCGGGUGAAAAGCCCGCUCGCCGGAAGACCAAGGGUUCCUGUCCAACGUUAAUCGGGGCAGGGUGAGUCGACCCCUAAGGCGAGGCCGAAAGGCGUAGUCGAUGGGAAACAGGUUAAUAUUCCUGUACUUGGUGUUACUGCGAAGGGGGGACGGAGAAGGCUAUGUUAGCCGGGCGACGGUUGUCCCGGUUUAAGCAUGUAGGCUGGUUGUCCAGGCAAAUCCGGAUAAUCAAGGCUGAGGUGUGAUGACGAGGCACUACGGUGCUGAAGUAACAAAUGCCCUGCUUCCAGGAAAAGCCUCUAAGCAUCAGGUAACAUCAAAUCGUACCCCAAACCGACACAGGUGGUCAGGUAGAGAAUACCAAGGCGCUUGAGAGAACUCGGGUGAAGGAACUAGGCAAAAUGGUGCCGUAACUUCGGGAGAAGGCACGCUGGUGUGUAGGUGAAGUCCCUGCGGAUGGAGCUGAGACCAGUCGAAGAUACCAGCUGGCUGCAACUGUUUAUUAAAAACACAGCACUGUGCAAACACGAAAGUGGACGUAUACGGUGUGACGCCUGCCCGGUGCCGGAAGGUUAAUUGAUGGGGUUAUCCGUAAGGAGAAGCUCUUGAUCGAAGCCCCGGUAAACGGCGGCCGUAACUAUAACGGUCCUAAGGUAGCGAAAUUCCUUGUCGGGUAAGUUCCGACCUGCACGAAUGGCGUAAUGAUGGCCAGGCUGUCUCCACCCGAGACUCAGUGAAAUUGAACUCGCUGUGAAGAUGCAGUGUACCCGCGGCAAGACGGAAAGACCCCGUGAACCUUUACUAUAGCUUGACACUGAACAUUGAGCCUUGAUGUGUAGGAUAGGUGGGAGGCUUUGAAGCGUGGACGCCAGUCUGCGUGGAGCCAACCUUGAAAUACCACCCUUUAAUGUUUGAUGUUCUAACGUUGGCCCCUGACCGGGGUUGCGGACAGUGUCUGGUGGGUAGUUUGACUGGGGCGGUCUCCUCCCAAAGCGUAACGGAGGAGCACGAAGGUUAGCUAAUCCUGGUCGGACAUCAGGAGGUUAGUGCAAUGGCAUAAGCUAGCUUGACUGCGAGCGUGACGGCGCGAGCAGGUGCGAAAGCAGGUCAUAGUGAUCCGGUGGUUCUGAAUGGAAGGGCCAUCGCUCAACGGAUAAAAGGUACUCCGGGGAUAACAGGCUGAUACCGCCCAAGAGUUCAUAUCGACGGCGGUGUUUGGCACCUCGAUGUCGGCUCAUCACAUCCUGGGGCUGAAGUAGGUCCCAAGGGUAUGGCUGUUCGCCAUUUAAAGUGGUACGCGAGCUGGGUUUAGAACGUCGUGAGACAGUUCGGUCCCUAUCUGCCGUGGGCGCUGGAGAAUUGAGGGGGGCUGCUCCUAGUACGAGAGGACCGGAGUGGACGCAUCACUGGUGUUCGGGUUGUCAUGCCAAUGGCACUGCCCGGUAGCUAAAUGCGGAAGAGAUAAGUGCUGAAAGCAUCUAAGCACGAAACUUGCCCCGAGAUGAGUUCUCCCUGAGACUUUAAGUCUCCUGAAGGAACGUU
Molecule: ribosomal RNA, 2672 nt
Filed under: Klebsiella pneumoniae
Lineage: Bacteria; Pseudomonadati; Pseudomonadota; Gammaproteobacteria; Enterobacterales; Enterobacteriaceae
Description: bacterial LSU rRNA
Rfam family: Bacterial large subunit ribosomal RNA
Source: RNAcentral